This 465-nucleotide ribosomal RNA is filed under the name Vreelandella stevensii. Its description in RNAcentral is "partial 16S ribosomal RNA". It matches the Rfam family "Bacterial small subunit ribosomal RNA", at positions 338 to 795 of the family's 1533-position model. The record is from RNAcentral. Lineage: Bacteria; Pseudomonadati; Pseudomonadota; Gammaproteobacteria; Oceanospirillales; Halomonadaceae.
CCUACGGGGGGCUGCAGUGGGGAAUAUUGGACAAUGGGGGGAACCCUGAUCCAGCCAUGCCGCGUGUGUGAAGAAGGCCCUCGGGUUGUAAAGCACUUUCAGUGAGGAAGAACGCCUGGUGGUUAAUACCCAUCAGGAAAGACAUCACUCACAGAAGAAGCACCGGCUAACUCCGUGCCAGCAGCCGCGGUAAUACGGAGGGUGCGAGCGUUAAUCGGAAUUACUGGGCGUAAAGCGCGCGUAGGUGGCUCGAUAAGCCGGUUGUGAAAGCCCCGGGCUCAACCUGGGAACGGCAUCCGGAACUGUCAAGCUAGAGUGCAGGAGAGGAAGGUGGAAUUCCCGGUGUAGCGGUGAAAUGCGUAGAGAUCGGGAGGAAUACCAGUGGCGAAGGCGGCCUUCUGGACUGACACUGACACUGAGGUGCGAAAGCGUGGGUAGCAAACAGGAUUAGAUACCCUUGUAGUC